GCUCGUGUCGUGAGAUGUUGGUUAAGUCCGCAACGAGCGCAACCCCUACGUUUAGUUGCUAACGCGUGAAGGCGAGCACUCUAGACGAACUGCCGUUGACAAAACGGAGGAAGGUGGGGAUGACGUCAAAUCAUCAUGCCCCUUAUGUUCUGGGCUACACACGUGCUACAAUGGCCGGUACAGACGGACGCAAAGCCGCGAGGUGGAGCAAAUCCUAAAAAGCCGGUCUCAGUUCGGAUUGCAGGCUGCAAUUCGCCUGCAUGAAGUCGGAAUCGCUAGUAAUCGCAGGUCAGCAUACUGCGGUGAAUACGUUCCCGGGCCUU
This 323-nucleotide ribosomal RNA is filed under the name uncultured Pelotomaculum sp. RNAcentral's name for it is "bacterial SSU rRNA". It matches the Rfam family "Bacterial small subunit ribosomal RNA", at positions 1058 to 1382 of the family's 1533-position model. The record is from RNAcentral. Lineage: Bacteria; Bacillati; Bacillota; Clostridia; Eubacteriales; Desulfotomaculaceae.